CCAUCCAUACCUUUGUGAUUUGAGCCUCAGUCAUUGACCAGCUCUUCGAAAAGUGAUAACCAUGGCCAGCAGGAACCUGACAGUAGUUACAGCCAUUAGUCUGUAUCAUUGAAAGCAAAACCCCACAGAAACUAUUUAUUAGGUUUUACUGAAAAUAGCAAGCUGCAGGAAGAAUUUAGGAUAGAAGAGGAAUUAUAACCAGAGUGGCUUUCAUAAUGGAGCAUUUGAUACUUGGAAGCACAGUGUAGAGAAUGGGAUGGAAAAUAAGUCCAGCUCUUCUGGGUGACCACGAGGAGAGGAGCACAAGAGUCCUAAAUCCACUUUGGAUGCAAAAGAUGAGUGAUGGACCCUGGGUCCCCCAGGACUGACCUACAUGGACAGUUCCCUGAGCAAGGAAGGAGACAUUUCCUACAAAACUGUGUUCAAGAUCUGCUUUCAUUUGAACCUGUCCUGAAGUCAAAGAAGUUAAUGUGGCUUUAUCUGAGAGCAGAAUUUUGUCUAAAAUCUUCAUUACAUGCCAAUUCCACCAGGAUAAUUCAUAGUUAAGGCCUCUGAACAAAUUUAAAAUAAUCCUCUUUUGCUUCAUAUAAUGAAUAGAAUAGAUGGAAUUGCUUUCACAGACUUUCUGAGGAAAUUGAAGCAAUGUGUUAAAGUUUUAACAGUUUUUAUUUCUCUUUUCAGAUCUUAACCCAGUAUCAAAUAUUAAUGUCCUAAUAUGUUUAAGGAAAGCUGAAGUUGCUGUUAUAAUUAAUUUCGUAUCUGAGGAAAAAAAAGAAAAAAGUAUUGCUAACCACUUUUGGAAAGAAUUACACCAGCUCAGUUGAAAGCUUGUACAGAUCACCUGAAACAGCAUGCAAUAAUUUCAUGAAAUCGUACUGGAAGAGGAAAAGGACAAUUUCACAGCAAAGGGCUCACCAUUCCAGACCACAUUCAUUUUGCCUAAAUCUGGCCAAAGAAGGACUGUGCAUGAUUAGUAUAUACAAUAGCAUUUGGUCCUGGGCCAAGCUCUCCUCCACCCAAUACCAGCACUGCUCAAUGUUGCGGUUUUUGUUAACCCACUUCUUCCAUUCUCCUCUCAGCUUUACAAAACAGAUGGAAGGCACUGGGUGCUGGCUUGGCUUCUUCUGACAAGGCCGUGCCAAAGUCAGGUUGGCAAGCACUGUGAAUCAUCUCUUUUGAUCCCUACAUGCUUUUAUAGAACAAAUUGGAAAAGCAACAUCCAUGAGGAAAUACAUGAAGAUCUAACCCAUCCUGUGUGAAAAUAUUAAUUUCAUAAUAAGAGUUUGAAAUUUUGGGACAAAAUUGCCUUCUCUCAUAUCAGACUGAACAAAGCAGCUAUGUCCAGAGAUAUGCUUCCCUAUGAAAAGGAAAAUUAAUCUUCACAUUUUUAUUUAUGGAGGACAAGUUGGUACUUACAUGGGCAUACUGUAAUACCAGCAUUGAGAUGCAACCAGACCAGGCUCCCCUCCAGUCUGUUCUCUGAGCCCAGCCAUCUCUCGAGAAGCCUUGAUCCAUCCAUAAAGGUGUGAUCACCACCUGAGGUUGAGCAUCUCACCAGCUUGGUCCAGCUCUGCCUGCAGAAAUGUUGCAGAAUGCGUCUCAGCCAGGAACAGUUCCCACCACUUCCCAUCAAAGCAUCCUCCCAUCAACAGAGGAGCCAGGAGGAGAAGAAGAGCUCCUUGAUAUAAAAUAGCAGAAGCUCUUUUUGCUCCACUCCUCAGUCUGUUCUGUGCUUCUUUCAGGUAGGGCGAGUCCUGCCGUUUCACUGCGAAUGCUCUGUAUAGAAAGAAUAUGUGCAUUAAAUUGCCUCCGUGACCAUGUAUGACUCCUACUCUACAAAUAAAUGGGAAUAGAUAGCUCCCUUCCCUCAGGAACUUCUGUCUGCAGAAAACUGUGGAUCUCUGGGAUAUGCAGAUGAAACAUCUCUUUCUCUCCACCAAGAUAUGAAAGCAGAGAGCUCCUUCCCCUUCUGAGCUUCAGGCCAAGGGGCUCCGACACACACCGAGCAAAUGGGAAGAUGUGUGAUUAGGUAACUUCCAAACUUCAGAAACAUUUCCAUUUCAAAUUCUGACUUCCUGCCAUGCACAUACUCUUCUGUAACCAGGCUCUGAGGCAAUUUAUUAACAACUCCAGAGGAGUGAUAUCUGCAGAAUCUGUUUUUCAGCUUUUGACAGCUGAGCAGGGCUAAUGUUCCUGUUCCAGAGUGCCGUCGCGGGAGCAGUGCAUAUUCUGUAUAUUCAAUGAAGAAGUGUCCUUUGAAGGUGUAAAUGAAAUAGCUUAUCUGAAGUAAAGAGAUAAAAAAUCAAUUUAAAACAUUUUAGAUUGUUUAUCAGCAUGUUGGAAAAAAAAUACUAGAUUGACCAGCCUUUACAAAGAAGGUUUUAAACCACAAGCUACCAGUACUUCUAGGUUGCAUUUCCUGAUCGCUAAGUUAAACAUUUCAAUGGAUAGCACUGCAUUUCAGAAAAAUAAAUUAAAAAUAAAUAAAUAAACAGUAGAAUAAA
Molecule: long non-coding RNA, 2504 nt
Filed under: Gallus gallus (chicken)
Lineage: Eukaryota; Metazoa; Chordata; Aves; Galliformes; Phasianidae
Description: lncRNA (ENSGALG00010011216.1)
Source: RNAcentral